GAUGAAUAACGUAGCGAAAUGCGAUAAGUAGUGUGAAUUGCAGAAUUCAGUGAAUCAUCGAAUCUUUGAACCCACAUUGCGCCCCUCGGUAUUCCGUGGGGCAUGCCUGUUCGAGCGUCAUUUAACCCCUCAAGCCUAGCUUGGUAUUGGGUGCUUGUCCCGCCUCUCGCGCGGCGACUCACCUCAAAGUCAUUGGCAGCCCGCAUCUCGCCGGCCGUGAGCGCAGCACAGACGCGCUCUUGGCAACGACGGAUCGGCUCUCCAAAAGCUUAUUUCAACCACUGACCUCGGAUCAGGUAGGGAUACCCGCUGAACUUAAGCAUAUCAAUAAGCGGAGGA
Molecule: unclassified non-coding RNA, 339 nt
Filed under: soil metagenome
Description: partial contains 5.8S ribosomal RNA, internal transcribed spacer 2, and large subunit ribosomal RNA
Rfam family: 5.8S ribosomal RNA (bases 1-120)
Source: RNAcentral